CCCCCCCGCCAGGGGAAUUACGAGCCCAAUCUUAAAACCCAAAGGACUUGACGGGGUCCCACCCACCUAAAGGAGCCUGUUYUAUAAUCGACACUCCCCGYUACACCUMACCAYUUUUAGCUUAUCAGUCUGUAUACCUCCGUCGUAAGCUUACCGUAUGAACGCUUACAGGGGGCUAAAUGAUCCCCGUCAACACGUCAGGUCAAGGUGCAACUUACAAACUGGAAAGCAAUGGGCUACAAUUUCUAUCAAUAGAACACACGAAAAACUGCAUGAAACACAGUCAUUGAAGGUGGAUUUAGUAGUAAAAAGAAAUUAGAGAGUUCUUUUAAAUCCGGCCCUGGGACGCGC
RNAcentral lists this ribosomal RNA (351 nucleotides) under Anodonthyla montana (mountain climbing frog). RNAcentral describes it as "partial 12S ribosomal RNA". It matches the Rfam family "Bacterial small subunit ribosomal RNA", at positions 864 to 1384 of the family's 1533-position model. Lineage: Eukaryota; Metazoa; Chordata; Amphibia; Anura; Microhylidae. The record is from RNAcentral.